This 285-nucleotide long non-coding RNA is filed under the name Elaeis guineensis (African oil palm). RNAcentral's name for it is "long non-coding RNA (EGUI_LNC046337)". Lineage: Eukaryota; Viridiplantae; Streptophyta; Magnoliopsida; Arecales; Arecaceae. The record is from RNAcentral.
UCUGGUAGUAAGAUAUAUUAUGAUCUCCAUCACAAUAUCAUCGAAACUCUUUUCGAUGGAUUGAAAUAUUUUCAACUCUAUCCUUCGAGGAUUAUCGAUCAUCAAGAUGAUAUCCGAUGAGUCCCACAAUCUAUCAGUGAUACCUAGCAGUAUGUAUUGAUAAUCUAGUAGAAUGAGAGUAUGAACCCUUAGGUAUAGUUAUCGUAUGAUUCAGUCUUUCUAUUGUGAGUCCCAAAUUGAUGGAGAUCAUAGAGAACUCGUCAGAUCUCAUUGUUAGUCAUAUAC